GAUGAAGAACGUAGCGAAAUGCGAUAAGUAAUGUGAAUUGCAGAAUUCAGCGAAUCAUCGAAUCUUUGAACGCACAUUGCGCCCCCUGGUAUUCCGGGGGGCAUGCCUGUUCGAGCGUCAUUACAACCCUCAAGCUCUGCUUGGUAUUGGGCCCCGCCAGUUCUGGCGGGCCCUAAAGUCAGUGGCGGUGCCUUCCGGCUCCGAGCGUAGUAAUUCUUCUCGCUCUGGAGACCCGGUUGUGUGCUUGCCAACAACCCCCAAUUUUUUAAGGUUGACCUCGGAUCAGGUAGGGAUACCCGCUGAACUUAAGCAUAUCAAUAAGCGGAGGA
RNAcentral lists this unclassified non-coding RNA (329 nucleotides) under soil metagenome. RNAcentral describes it as "partial contains 5.8S ribosomal RNA, internal transcribed spacer 2, and large subunit ribosomal RNA". The stretch from base 1 to 120 matches the Rfam family "5.8S ribosomal RNA", at positions 35 to 154 of the family's 154-position model. The record is from RNAcentral.